CGAGCGGUAGCAGGCCUUCGGGUGCUGACGAGCGGCGGACGGGUGAGGAAUGCAUAGGAAUCUGCCUAUUAGUGGGGGAUAACACGGGGAAACUCGUGCUAAUACCGCAUACGUCCUACGGGAGAAAGCGGGGGAUCUUCGGACCUCGCGCUAAUAGAUGAGCCUAUGCCGGAUUAGCUAGUUGGUAGGGUAAAGGCCUACCAAGGCGACGAUCCGUAGCUGGUCUGAGAGGAUGAUCAGCCACACUGGGACUGAGACACGGCCCAGACUCCUACGGGAGGCAGCAGUGGGGAAUAUUGGACAAUGGGCGCAAGCCUGAUCCAGCCAUGCCGCGUGUGUGAAGAAGGCCUUCGGGUUGUAAAGCACUUUAAGUGGGGAGGAAGGUUAGUGGUUUAAUACGCUACUAAAUUGACGUUACCCACAGAAUAAGCACCGGCUAACUCUGUGCCAGCAGCCGCGGUAAUACAGAGGGUGCAAGCGUUAAUCGGAAUUACUGGGCGUAAAGCGCGCGUAGGUGGUUUUGUAAGUUGAAUGUGAAAUCCCCGGGCUUAACCUGGGAAUGGCAUCCAAAACUGCACGACUAGAGUAUGGGAGAGGGAGGUAGAAUUCCAGGUGUAGCGGUGAAAUGCGUAGAGAUCUGGAGGAAUACCGGUGGCGAAGGCGGCCUCCUGGCCUAAUACUGACACUGAGGUGCGAAAGCGUGGGUAGCAAACAGGAUUAGAUACCCUGGUAGUCCACGCCGUAAACGAUGAGAACUAGCCGUUGGUCUCCUUGAGAGGUUAGUGGCGCAGCUAACGCGAUAAGUUCUCCGCCUGGGGAGUACGGCCGCAAGGUUAAAACUCAAAUGAAUUGACGGGGGCCCGCACAAGCGGUGGAGCAUGUGGUUUAAUUCGACGCAACGCGAAGAACCUUACCUGGUCUUGACAUCCACGGAAUCCUGCAGAGAUGUGGGGGUGCCUUCGGGAACCGUGAGACAGGUGCUGCAUGGCUGUCGUCAGCUCGUGUUGUGAAAUGUUGGGUUAAGUCCCGUAACGAGCGCAACCCUUGUCCUUAGUUGCCAGCGAGUAAUGUCGGGAACUCUAAGGAGACUGCCGGUGACAAACCGGAGGAAGGUGGGGACGACGUCAAGUCAUCAUGGCCCUUACGACCAGGGCUACACACGUGCUACAAAGGCCGGUACAGAGGGUUGCCAAGCCGCGAGGUGGAGCCAAUCCCGAAAAGCCGGUCGUAGUCCGGAUUGCAGUCUGCAACUCGACUGCAUGAAGUCGGAAUCGCUAGUAAUCGCAGAUCAGAAUGCUGCGGUGAAUACGUUCCCGGGCCUUGUACACACCGCCCGUCACACCAUGGGAGUGGGUUGCACCAGAAGUAGUUAGCUUAACCGCAAGGGGAGCGAUUACCACGGUGUGAUUCAUGACUGGGGUGAAGUCGAAACAAGGUA
RNAcentral lists this ribosomal RNA (1438 nucleotides) under metagenome. Its description in RNAcentral is "bacterial SSU rRNA". It matches the Rfam family "Bacterial small subunit ribosomal RNA". The record is from RNAcentral.